This 253-nucleotide ribosomal RNA is filed under the name uncultured bacterium. RNAcentral describes it as "partial 16S ribosomal RNA". It matches the Rfam family "Bacterial small subunit ribosomal RNA", at positions 524 to 776 of the family's 1533-position model. The record is from RNAcentral.
AACGUAGGACACGAGCGUUAUCCGGAGUUACUGGGCGUAAAGGGCGUUUAGGCGGGUGAUUAAGUUCGCUAUGAAAGCGCCGGGCUAAACCCGGCGAGGCUGGCGGAUACUGGUCAUCUGGAGUGAGGGAGAGGGAAGUAGAAUUCCGCGUGUAGUGGUGAAAUGCGUAGAGAUGCGGAGGAAUACCAGUGGCGAAGGCGACUUCCUGGCCCUCAACUGACGCUGAAGCGCGAAAGCAUGGGGAGCGAACGGG